UAUAACAGAGAUAAGGAUUAGUAUGCCUAAAAGUUUGAUGGAACAAGAUCAAAAUUUCAAGGAUUUUUAUAACAAGUCAAGCUCUAUCUUUCCAAUACUCUGAUGGAUUUAUUCAAGUCAGAUUCAUAGAUGCACUUCUAUCAAGAAGUGCUCUUUUUUAAUUUGUAUCUUUAAUAAAAAAAGAUUUGUGACUCUUUUAUGAUUUAAAUUUAUUAUUAGAAGUAUUUAUGGCUACAUUUAGAAAAAGUGAUAAAAAAGACCAGUACAGACUAAAGUCUUAUCUUAGCUUAUUUUAUAGAUGAAGACUUUGUCAAAAAAUAAGAUAUAUGCUUAGUUAAGAAAAUCAAAUUUGUGCAUGUAGAGGUAAUAGAUGG
Molecule: long non-coding RNA, 374 nt
Filed under: Physcomitrium patens
Lineage: Eukaryota; Viridiplantae; Streptophyta; Bryopsida; Funariales; Funariaceae
Description: long non-coding RNA (PPAT_LNC010707)
Source: RNAcentral